This 253-nucleotide ribosomal RNA is filed under the name uncultured bacterium. RNAcentral's name for it is "partial 16S ribosomal RNA". It matches the Rfam family "Bacterial small subunit ribosomal RNA", at positions 524 to 776 of the family's 1533-position model. The record is from RNAcentral.
UACGAAGGGAGCUAGCGUUGAACGGAAUUACUGGGCGUAAAGCGCACGUAGGCGGACUUGUAAGUUGGGGGUGAAAUCCCGGGGCUCAACCCCGGAAUUGCCUUCAAGACUGCAAGUCUGGAGGUCAGGAGAGGCGAGCGGAAUUCCGAGUGUAGAGGUGAAAUUCGUAGAUAUUCGGAGGAACACCAGUGGCGAAGGCGGCUCGCUGGACUGAUACUUACGCUGAGGUGCGAAAGCGUGGGGAGCAAACAGG